GACGAACGCUGGCGGCGUGCUUAACACAUGCAAGUCGAACGGAAAGGCCCUGCUUUUGUGGGGUGCUCGAGUGGCGAACGGGUGAGUAACACGUGAGUAACCUGCCCUUGACUUUGGGAUAGCUUCAGGAAACUGGGGCUAAUACCGGAUAGGAGCUCCUGCUGCAUGGUGGGGGUUGGAAAGUUUCGGCGGUUGGGGAUGGACUCGCGGCUUAUCAGCUUGUUGGUGGGGUAGUGGCUUACCAAGGCUUUGACGGGUAGCCGGCCUGAGAGGGUGACCGGCCACAUUGGGGCUGAGAUACGGCCCAGACUCCUACGGGAGGCAGCAGUGGGGAAUAUUGCACAAUGGGCGGAAGCCUGAUGCAGCAACGCCGCGUGCGGGAUGACGGCCUUCGGGUUGUAAACCGCUUUCGCCUGUGACGAAGCGUGAGUGACGGUAAUGGGUAAAGAAGCACCGGCUAACUACGUG
Molecule: ribosomal RNA, 468 nt
Filed under: uncultured bacterium
Lineage: Bacteria
Description: partial 16S ribosomal RNA
Rfam family: Bacterial small subunit ribosomal RNA
Source: RNAcentral